CCCUUAGAUGUUCUGGGCCGCACGCGCGCUACACUGAUGCAUUCAACGAGCCUAUCCUUGACCGACAGGUCCGGGUAAUCUUUGAAUCUGCAUCGUGACGGGGAUAGAUUAUUGCAAUUAUUAAUCUUCAACGAGGAAUGCCUAGUAGGCGCAAGUCAUCAGCUUGCGUCGAUUACGUCCUUGCCCUUUGUACACACCGCCCGUCGCUCCUACCGAUUGGGUGUGCUGGUGAAAUGUUCGGAUCGGCCGUUUGUCGCGGUUUCCGCGGCUCGUGGCUGAGAAGUUCAUUAAACCCUCCCACCUAGAGGAAGGAGAAGUCGUAACA
RNAcentral lists this ribosomal RNA (325 nucleotides) under uncultured eukaryote. RNAcentral's name for it is "partial 18S ribosomal RNA". It matches the Rfam family "Eukaryotic small subunit ribosomal RNA", at positions 1470 to 1796 of the family's 1831-position model. The record is from RNAcentral.